RNAcentral lists this long non-coding RNA (155 nucleotides) under Mustela putorius furo (domestic ferret). RNAcentral describes it as "lncRNA (ENSMPUG00000030771.1)". The record is from RNAcentral. Lineage: Eukaryota; Metazoa; Chordata; Mammalia; Carnivora; Mustelidae.
GCAACCUGGUUGUGUAGACCAGAGAGAAAUACAAGGGGACAUUGCUGAGAAUCCAGGUGGAAGGAACAUCUGCUGGACCUUCCAAUUGAUGUUCUCUCUUACACUCAGCCAAUGGGAUGAUGUCUUGCUUUCCCUGGUCAGUCUUAAGUCCUUCA